CCUACGGGUGGCAGCAGUGAGGAAUAUUGGUCAAUGGGCGCGAGUCUGAACCAGCCAAGUCGCGUGAAGGAUGACUGCCCUACGGGUUGUAAACUUCUUUUAUAAAGGAAUAAAGUUAGGCACGUGUGCCUUUUUGUAUGUACUUUAUGAAUAAGGAUCGGCUAACUCCGUGCCAGCAGCCGCGGUAAUACGGAGGAUCCGAGCGUUAUCCGGAUUUAUUGGGUUUAAAGGGAGCGUAGAUGGGUUGAUAAGUUAGUUGUGAAAGUUUGCGGCUUAACCGUAAAAUUGCCAUUGAUACUGGCAGUCUUGAGUAUAGUUGAGGUAGGCGGAAUUCGUGGUGUAGCGGUGAAAUGCUUAGAUAUCACGAAGAACUCCGAUUGCGAAGGCAGCUUACUAAACUGUAACUGACAUUGAGGCUCGAAAGUGUGGGUAUCAAACAGGAUUAGAUACCCCAGUAGUC
This 460-nucleotide ribosomal RNA is filed under the name uncultured bacterium. RNAcentral's name for it is "partial 16S ribosomal RNA". It matches the Rfam family "Bacterial small subunit ribosomal RNA", at positions 338 to 795 of the family's 1533-position model. The record is from RNAcentral.